UUUCACUUUUGUUGCCCAGGUUGGAGUGCAGUGGCUCCAUCUUGGCUCACUGCGACCUCCACCUUCUGGUUUCAAGCAAUUCUUCAGCCUCAGCCUCCCAAGUAGCUGGGAUUACAGGUGCCCACCACCACACCCGGCUAAUUUUUAUAUUUUAUUAGAGAAGGAGUUUCAUCAUGUUGGCGAGGCUGGUCUUGAACUCCUGACCUCGUGAUCCGCCUGCCUCGGCCUCCUAAAUGCUGGGAUUACAGGUGUGAGCCAGGCGGGAAGUGCCCUUUCAGGGACUCUGGACUUGUGACAGUCCCUGUUUCCCCGUUUCCUUCCUUUUCACCCAAUAAAACCCUGCCUUACUCACCAUUCAAAUUAACUUCAAGCCUGAAUUUUUGUGGAUGUCUAUCUUUAGCUGAACUAAGGACAAAGGACCCCCAUCUUUAGCUGAACUAAGGAAAAGUCCUGCAACAUUUUUGGUGCUCAACAUAGGGCUCCAGAAGCGUUAUUCAAGUGGCAAUUCAAGUGGGCAAUUAAUGUAUUAUCUUACGGAAUUAGACAUAGUCUGCACAUAAUCAAGACACUCGAAUACUAGAGUUUUCUGUGUUGGGAGAAGAUUUUUUUAAAUUGUAUUUCCCCAACAAUUCUGGUGAAAAGGGUGAGAUGACUGACAGUUACUGAAUUGAGCAGAUGAGUUGAAGGUCUGUGGCCAUGCAACAGUCAGAAUAUACAGACAUACACCGGAGCAUGUUAUCAGUCUAAACCUCAUGAACAGAGACAUGCACUAGCUACUGUGUGGAAUUAUGCAAAAAGCAGACUUUACUUCUUUUAAGUUUCAAAUGCAUCAGCGUCCAGAAGAUACCACAUCAAAGGGUAUUGUGGCCAAGGGAAGCCAACUACCUUCCAUACUCCACAAUGGAACCCAUCUAAAAGGGUUGCUUGAUGGCAAUACUUAAAUCCUUUCUUCUAAAGCUCAGCUGGGAGAAGUUACACUGAUGUACCCACAAGAACCGUGAGACUUAAAGUGGCAAGGACAUGGAAGAAUCUGCUGGAAGAAGUCAGCCACCUACGUUAACCAGGAGAUUUUAUUUACAUAAAAGUCUCCCCCAGUAAAGAUAAUUGCAUUGGAACAGACUUUUUGAAAUGUUGAUGAUCACCCACAGGACUAUCUAUGUGAAAAUAAUAAUGACCUUAAACCAACAACAACUUGAAAACUUGAUUUGUGUUUCUUAUAAGAAGCCAACUCCUUAGAGUGACUGGACUGAGGAUUCCACAAGGAAUUUGGACUUGAAAUUUUCAGAAGUUAUUGAUAUUGGUACUGAACUCAACUGAAGAGGUAUUCUUGCAAACAUAUUACUAGUUUCAUAGACUGCCUUGCUGUCUCAUUCAUAGCACGGUGGUUUCAGUUACUUUAAGGAUCACGUUUUUCUAGAAAACAAAUUUAUUUUUUACAUUACUUUUUCUUUCUGUACUCCCAGUAAUGGUUCCCACAAUCUCAUUUCCGAUCAGCUCCAAAUUGUACUCCAUAUAAAUAGGUUUUGAUUUACAAAUUGAAAAAUCUGAUUAUUUAUAAAGUAAAAAUGAAAAAAUCUUCAUUAGUCAUUUUUGAUAAUAACAUUUUAGCUAUUUUAGGUAAAAGUAGCUAAAAUGCAUGCAAGUACUUGGGCCCUAAAUUUGAUACAAAAAUGUUUUCACUGAUUUGAUUGGAGCAUGAGGUAGAAAAAAAUUAAUAGUAGACAAACAGAAAUCUAGCAUUUACACAUAGAGGUUGAAAAGACAGGUCUAAUGUCAUUCAAUUAACUUAGAGAUCCAAGUUGUGUCCAAUCUCAAAAUACUUAAAUAAACAAAGGUGAAUAUCUGUCAUUAAUGUAGAUUUAGUCAACUGCUACAAAAGUAUGACUAUUGAUUAAGGCCCAAUGCAAGAAAAAAAAGGCCCAUAAGACAGGUUUGUCCUCAACACUUAAUGAGAACCUUACACAUGAAGCACUGGAACUUUACUCUGUCCCAUUCAACAGCUACCUCAUAAUGAGGCUUUGAUAGUAGUUGAAGACUAUUCAUAUCUUUACGUCACACAUCAGAGAACUAUUAUUUGGGAAGACAGAACAAUUACUAAAAGACCUACAUUUUCAUAAAAAUGUAAUGGAACUUAUGUGAUUGACUGAAACUCAAAAUUUUUUGGGGGGUGGCCUUGCAAGGAAAACUUUUAGAUCAUCAGGUUUCACUGUAAAGCUACUUUCUAGUUUUAGAUUGGAUAAUGCUUUACAAGGAACUGCCAAAUAAUACCUAGAUAUUACCCAUUUGAAAAUACAAGCAAUAAGGUCAUCACAGCAAUUUUAAAAAUAAUUGUGUAACUAAGGAAAGUUUUCUGCAUUGCUAAUUAUAUUAUUCAGGCUUCUACAGAGAGACAGAGCUUAUAGUAUAUGGAUAUGGAUAUAUGUAUGUAUAUGAGAAGAUUUAUGUAUGUAUGUAUAUGAGAAGGUAUAAUUCAGUCUGAGUGUGAAGGCCUGAGAACCUGGAGUGCCAAUGUCCAAGGACAGGAAAAGAUUCAUGCCCCAGUUCAAACAGAAGCAAAUUUGUCCUUCCUCUAUCUUUUUUUUUUUUUUUUUGAAACAGAGUCUCACUCUGUCCCCCAGGGCUGGAAUGAAAUGGUGCAGUCUUGGCUUUCUUCCCUCAUUCAAGUGAUUCUUGUGCCUCAGCCUCCCGAAUAGCUGGGACUACAGGCGCACACCACCACGCUUGGCUAGUUUUUGUAUUUUUAGUAGAGAUGGGGUUUCACUAUGUUGGCCAGGCUGUUCUCAAACUCCUGACCUCGUGAUCUGCCCACUUCGGCCUCCCAAAGUGCUGGGAUUACAGGUGUGAGCCACUGCACCUAGCCUUCCUCUGCCUUUUUAUUGCACCAACCUAACAUUCAGACCCUCAAGGGAUUGGAUGAUGCCCCCUUGCAUUGUGGUGGGAGGAUCUGCUUUACUUAGUCCAACAUAAACCCAUCUCUUCCAGAAACAGCCUUACAAACAUGCUCAGAAAUAAUGUUUAAGCAGCUGUUUCGGCAUAUCCUGGACCACUGAAGUAGAUACAUAAAGUUAACCAUCACACUAGUUAAGAAUCUGAUGUAACCAUUAUCUAUUUAUAUGAUAAAUUCAAAGCUUAUUCCUACAACCAAUAGUGUAGAGACUUUUAAAAAUGUACUUGUUUUGUUGUUUUAUCAGAUUUCUGGCAAUUGCAUUGUGUUGUAUGUUACUGUCGACUUUCGGGUUAUUUAGAGGGCUGCAACUUGUCCAGAGAAAGAUGAAAAUAGCAAUGAAGUCAGAAAUUUGUAGUGUCACUAUUUUAUACUAACAAGGAGUGUAUUGUCUGGGUAAAUACAAAUUGGAAAAGAAACAAUUCUCUUUGUUGAAAAUACGGGAAGAGACAUCCAUCCCCUCCCUUUCUUAGGGCAUUUACUUUAGAAAACUUGCAGAUGGAAAUUUUUGUUUGUGUCUUUAAAAAUGUGUGUAAAUCUUUUUAAAUGUCAAAUAAGCCUCUUGCCUGGUGAAAGGCUCGGGAAUGUCUUACUCUAUGACCUGGGGACCAUCUCAUUGAAAUGUCUUCAUCAUCAAAGAACAUAGUGCCCAUCUCCCAAUUUCUGUGGGUGGGUGGAAACCUAGCUUCAGAAGGUAUUUAGCUUAAAAUUGCAAAACUAUCUUAUGUUAUAAAGAUAUGAUAAUUUAUUUUUCCUUUGGAUAAUACACAGAACAUCAUUCCAAGUAUCCAGUGAAUUUAGGAUGAACUAUGUGUAACAAAUAGUGCUGUCAAGUCCUAUCUAGCACUUGAAGACUAGUUAUUAUUUAUCUUGAGAACAUGUACAUAAUGGAUUGUAUCUGCUUGGCUAUAUAAAAUAAUGAGAUUUAUUUCUGUUUUGCGAUAUCUUAGCACACCUACAAUCUGGUUUAAUGCUUAUUCAAUAAUACAACUGUGUUCUUUCUUUUAUGUUGU
Molecule: long non-coding RNA, 3957 nt
Filed under: Homo sapiens (human)
Lineage: Eukaryota; Metazoa; Chordata; Mammalia; Primates; Hominidae
Description: HSALNT0078179
Source: RNAcentral